Molecule: long non-coding RNA, 364 nt
Organism: Cyclopterus lumpus (lumpfish)
Lineage: Eukaryota; Metazoa; Chordata; Actinopteri; Perciformes; Cyclopteridae
Exons: 4
Source: RefSeq, a predicted model, not a curated record
GAGCUGGGAUUUAAGUUGCAGCAAAACUUUACAUCACAACUUACAAACAAAUCCUCAGCGGAGUUCAAGCAAUUAAGUGACAACGUUACCACGGCGCUCAACACAAUCUAUUCAGAGAAAUAUGGAGCUGCCUUCAAUCGAACUUUCAUCAAAGGCUUCCGUUACAGUCAAGGAUCCGUUGUUGUCGAUGCUGUUCUGAUAUUCAAUAAUGGGACUACACUGCCUAAUGCCAGUUCUGUGGCGAAAACUUUGGAGACUGCUUCGUCCAGCUCAAAUUUUUCCCUCAGUGUCAACACAUCUUCUAUUACUGCAUCUGGACCAGUAAAUGUAACCACAUCGCCACCAGUCUCCACAAUGCCACCAG